This 97-nucleotide non-coding RNA is filed under the name uncultured Leucobacter sp. Its description in RNAcentral is "Glycine riboswitch". It matches the Rfam family "Glycine riboswitch aptamer", at positions 8 to 87 of the family's 94-position model. Rfam says of the family: This family represents the bacterial glycine riboswitch. Glycine riboswitches usually consist of two metabolite-binding aptamers domains with similar structures in tandem. Lineage: Bacteria; Bacillati; Actinomycetota; Actinomycetes; Micrococcales; Microbacteriaceae. The record is from RNAcentral.
CUUGCGGGAGAGCCCGGGUCCGGCGCAUCGCGACGGCGACCCGGCGCCGUAGGAGCAAACCCUCCCCGGGAAACUCUCAGGCACCAGUACCGCAAAG